GCCUGCUUUGGCAGCUCAUAUACUAAAAUUGGAACCAUACAGAGAAGAUUAGCAUGGUCCCUGCAUAAGGAUGACAUGCAAAUUCGUGAAGCAUUCCAUAAAAAA
Small nuclear RNA from Oryctolagus cuniculus (rabbit), 105 nucleotides. The record is from Ensembl. Lineage: Eukaryota; Metazoa; Chordata; Mammalia; Lagomorpha; Leporidae.